RNAcentral lists this ribosomal RNA (433 nucleotides) under uncultured bacterium. RNAcentral's name for it is "partial 16S ribosomal RNA". It matches the Rfam family "Bacterial small subunit ribosomal RNA", at positions 29 to 507 of the family's 1533-position model. The record is from RNAcentral.
AACGAACGCUGGCGGCAUGCCUAACACAUGCAAGUCGAACGAGACCUUCGGGUCUAGUGGCGCACGGGUGCGUAACGCGUGGGAGCCUGCCCUUAGGUUCGGAAUAACUCCCCGACAGGGGUGCUAAUACCGGAUAAUGUCUUCGGACCAAAGAUUUAUCGCCUUUGGAUGGGCCCGCGUUGGAUUAGCUAGUUGGUAGGGUAAAAGCCUACCAAGGCGACGAUCCAUAGCUGGUCUGAGAGGAUGAUCAGCCACACUGGGACUGAGACACGGCCCAGACUCCUACGGGAGGCAGCAGUGGGGAAUAUUGGACAAUGGGCGAAAGCCUGAUCCAGCAAUGCCGCGUGAGUGAUGAAGGCCUUAGGGUUGUAAAGCUCUUUUACCCGGGAUGAUAAUGACAGUACCGGGAGAAUAAGCUCCGGCUAACUCCGUG